Molecule: unclassified non-coding RNA, 335 nt
Filed under: soil metagenome
Description: partial contains 5.8S ribosomal RNA, internal transcribed spacer 2, and large subunit ribosomal RNA
Rfam family: 5.8S ribosomal RNA (bases 1-120)
Source: RNAcentral
GAUGAAGAACGUAGCGAAAUGCGAUAAGUAAUGUGAAUUGCAGAAUUCAGUGAAUCAUCGAAUCUUUGAACGCACAUUGCGCCCGCCAGCAUUCUGGCGGGCAUGCCUGUUCGAGCGUCAUUUCAACCCUCAAGCUCUGCUUGGUGUUGGGGCCCUACGGUUGACGUAGGCCCUUAAAGGUAGUGGCGGACCCUCUCGGAGCCUCCUUUGCGUAGUAACUAACGUCUCGCAUUGGGAUUCGGAGGGACUCUUGCCGUAAAACCCCCAAAUUUUCUAAUGGUUGACCUCGGAUCAGGUAGGAAUACCCGCUGAACUUAAGCAUAUCAAGCGGAGGA